Long non-coding RNA from Mus musculus (house mouse), 5974 nucleotides. RefSeq annotates it as predicted gene, 53418. The transcript is spliced from 2 exons. The record is from RefSeq and is a predicted model, not a curated record. Lineage: Eukaryota; Metazoa; Chordata; Mammalia; Rodentia; Muridae.
GGGAAAUUCUGUCUUGAAAAACAACAACAAAUAGGUAUUUGAACUAUAACAUAUUUUAUACAUAUACCCAUGUAUACAAAAUACAUAGGAUACAAACUUUCAUAUACAUAUAGAAAUAUACUCAUACAUGGAAACUUAUUUGUACAUUUCUAAAUACACGUUUAGAUUCUAAAUGUGAUAAAAACAGUUUAGCUAAAAAGUCUCCCAAAUAUGAAAGUUAUUUUGUCUCAAAUUUAAACUAAUUCCUGGCAUGAAGGCAUGAAUAUCUGAACUCUGAGCAGUCAGGAGAGGAUGAUAUCAGAGGGCCAUGGAAUUGAGACUAUUUUGGGCUACAAAAUGGACCCAAACCUGCCUCUAAACAAAAACAAGCAAACAAACAAAAAAACGCACUAAAAUCAUAAGCCUUUAGAAUAUUUAAAAGGAGGACAGGCAGGAAGUCCACUUCAAAAGUCAACACACAUCACCCUCUUGAUAUCCAAGAUAGAUUUCCAGAGAUGGUGAGUGUUGAAGCCUAGCACCUUAAGGUGUCCUUUGCAACUUGUUUCUUAUUUCCUCUUGGGCUGAGGAACAUUCCAACUUCAGUGUAAAGCCUCCCUCAAAUGGUUAAACUGUAGCCACUUUCCCUUCAUUCCUCAUUCUCUCUACUAAUUCACUUCUGUCAUACAGUGAACAGAUUGAAACUCUGCAUGGAAAGAAAAACUAAACUGAGCAGUAAUGAAUAAUACAUUGAAAGAAAAACAGUAAUAUCCACUCCUAUCAGCAAAGCCCAUCAUACUCACAAAGGGGAAUCUUCAUGAUUUAGUAUCAGAAUUCCUAUAUGCUACUCUCCAGUUUUGUGUUUUAUACCAAAUAUUAAAUGUUUCCUAAAAGUGCCUAUGAUACACAUCAAAAAUCACCAAAGAAGUUCAUUUCAGCCAUUUCAAAAAGUAUACAAAUAUUAUAUCUUAAUUUUUUUCCUAGUUCAAUUCACUGAAAGAAAUAGACAUCAUAAAGAAAGCAAACGUUUUCUCUGCCCUCCAAAGUUCAGUGCUUGACACCCAGCAAAAUUUGAAAGACUGUAACCAUGGUGAUAUUCAGAACCGCAGCUCUGUUCCUUCCACAGCUUCUAAGCUUGAAUAUCUAUCUACAGAUCACCACCUCCCCCACAGCAGCCACACUCAGAAUCCUUGGAAAUGUACUUUCGCCUUGCUUUAUGUCAUUCUCUUGAAAGUCUAAAGAAGCCAAUUUGAUGUUGCUGAUCUAGGGAGACCAUCAAGAAGACAUCUAUUCCUUCUCAGGGCUGUAGGCACAGAACUGCUGUUGACAUGGGUAAAAAAUUUUACCCUGAUAAGAAUGCAACUCGUGUGUGCCAGGUUUGGAAGAUACUCAGAGGAAGAAGGGGAAGGAAGGAUGGGGGAAGGAUUGUGGGAGGGGGUGAAUGGAAGAGGACAGUGGGUGGAAGUAAAGUGGAUAAGUAAAAAAAUUAAUUAAUUAAUUAAUUAAUUGGAAAGGAUGCAAAUCAAGCUGAUACAUUUCAGCUGUGCAUGUUAUAGUCACUGAAACAGGCCAAACUGAUAGGCAUGGCAUCUUUGACCUGUCUUUCUGAUUCUAUCAAGGUGUAAAAUUACCCUUUAACGUCAUGUCAGAACCACCAUUUACCAUAAAGACAAAUAACCUGUGACCAUUACUGCUAGCCAGCUCUCACUAAACGUCAUAAGUGUAGCUCACCUCUAAGGCAAGUCAGCUAAUAAGCUGAGUGGAUGAUGCUUCAGUGCUGCUUCGAGUUCCCUUAUUGCUCUACUAUCUUUAAUUUAUCAUGCUGCCUCUUUAUGGUAAACCUUUCAGAACAUUUGCUGCCUUAGACCUAGGGUUUUUUUAAUCCCUUUAUGAUAUUCUUUGACACUCACCUACAAAUGAGUACAUCUGCAAGGAGUUCAUACUGUUAUAAGAAUUAUCUAAUCUUUAUUUUGCUUCUCUUCUAUCUCACACAUUCCUAUUCUCCCAACGCUUUUCUUCAAAAUUAAAAACUAUACAUUGUUUUAUGUACAUAGACUUUUUCCUGCAUGGGUGCAUGUGCAUCUUGUAUGUCCUUAGUGGGUAUGGAAACAAAAGAAGAUAUUUGAUCUCCCAGAAUUGAACAGAUGUAUGGUUCAGAGCCACCAUGUGAAUGUUGAGAAUUAAACCCAGGUCUUCUGCAAAAGAAGCAAGUGCUCUGAAACACCAAUCCCUCUAGCCUGCCCCUUUAACCUAUUCUUCUUAUAUUUUAGUUUUGUGUACACAUGUGUGCACGUUCCUGUGGGGAGCGUAUGUGGUAUAUGAGUAUAUGCACCACAGGCUGCAGGAAUAUUGGGAAGCCAAAUGAUAACCUGGCGUGUUGCUCCAGUAUACAGUAACUUUAAUGUUUUUCAGAGCUGAUGAAUAACUUUAUUUGAUAUCUAACCCUUCUAAGAUCAUUCUUUUAUACAAAUACAAAAUGACAGAAGGAAAUUGAGGUCCACUUUAAAGCCUACUAGAAAUCCUGUCCUAAUACCAGGCUGAAAUUCAUUUAAUAGCUUUUUCUGAAAAUAUUCAACUCAAUUACUCAAGGAGCAAUAUUUAUAUUCAAGCAUUCUAGCAGAAACCAAAUAUAUACCCUUUUUUACAGGUUGAACAAUAAUGGCAGGAAAACAUUAAAAAAAAAAACUUUGAUUUAUGUAAUGAAACCAUUUUGCCUUUUAGGGGAUCAGAACAUUUUGAAUGUACCAUAAGAACUCUGAAAUUCAUAUCACACAAUACUCUAAAGUCAUGGUGCUUCCAGCAAUGUUGACAGGUUCCACAAUGGCAUAAGACAUGUACAGAAGGAAGGGAAUGCUUUGUGCUGGAAAUCAAGACUGUAGCAAAGUGGCAUGAUGUAACACACACGACACCUGACAAAAUACCAUAUACUUGGUUUUUAGUUGUGUUUUAAUCAGUGAGAGUGUGAAGACCUUACACUGUUGGCAGAUUCUUUACAACCUCCCACAAGCAAUGCAGAGCUUGGAAGCUGUGAGUUGAAGAGGAUGAUCCAUAAGAAAUAACCACACCUUUAAUGAAAGAAGAGGGCAAGGAUUUGAAAGAGGAAAGGGGGUGAGGUUCAUGAGAGGGUGUGGAGGAAGAACACUGGAAAGAAAAAUGAUGAUGUAUUUAUAUUAUAUCCUCAACAAAUACAAGAAAAAAUUAGAAAAAUUAUUUAAACAAAAGGAACAGCUUCAAGUGCAGAUAAUAUUAAGCAUAAAUAACUACAAAGUACACUAUAAAAGUCUACUUGAUUUUACCUGGGCUUUCAAAGUACUCUGUGGAGUUUGUUAUUAUCCAGUGAUAUUUAGCAAACUGAUUUUCUCAAGGAGAAAAUGUCCUGAUUUAUAGUAUUUACCAAUAUUGCCAUGUGGCCAAUUUUGAGUCACAAAUGUUUUAACUGCAAGCUCCCGUUGCUCCCAGAUAUUUAACAACCAGUAGCAGCAGUAGGGUCCUGCCCCUGCAUGCCAGUAGUUUCUCCUUUAUUUUGAAUAAAACUGUGGAUUUGUUACAUGCUUUCUCUGCUUAAUUUUAGAUUGUAUAUUUCCAAAAGGGCCACUAAGUUGAAAAAUCAGACUCCUUUGAAUAGUUAAAAUAACAAAACCUAUGGGAAAAGAAAUGUUUCCUUCUGAUUCAAGUCUGGACAGAGGGACAGGCUCUUCUAAGUGAGUUUGCUUCUCUUUUCUCCUAGUGUUACUCUUUCUCCUCCAAUUGAUAUCUGACUUCUCAGCCUAUCUGAAUCAGUGAAUGAGAGGAAAGGUACAACAACUAUCUGCAUCACUGAGACGAUCAUAUGCUAAUGCUAUUACCAUAGAACAUGGAAGAUAAACACAGCAGGCAGAUUCUUUCCACAUUAACUGAAUUUUUGAAAUGUCUCUCUCACAUCCAUCAGCUAUACUCUACAUCACCAUGGGAACUGGCUCUCUCCCUGUUCUAUUACUAUUCUUUCUUCUACCGCCAGCUUGAAAACUCAAGUAAUACUUAUAACCUCUUUGCUCUAAAAUCUACCUACUUCUCUAAACCAGAGUUCAACCAUGUUUUUCUGUAAAAGGCCAAAUGAAAAAAUAUUUUAGACUUUGAGAGACAAAUAGUUUCUGAGCCAGCUAUUCAACUCCAGUCUUUUAGCAACCACAUAUAAUAUAAAUGCAUGAACUGGCUAUGUUCUAGUAUUUACCAAAAAAGGCAAAAGAUUUGGCCGGUGGGUCAUGGCUUAUCUGCAGUUCUUUCAUACAGUCCUGGACAACAAGGACUAUGAUCAUGUUGAUUCAACUAUAUACACAGCAUGCAUCAUACCUUCACAGAUCUCUUGCUAUCCUAAUCCAGAAAAACAACUCAAUACUCCUUGAACUGCCCAAAGUUGACUGUUGUCACAAGGAUUCCAUGAGCAUCUUUAUGUAGUAGAGUACUGUGUUCCAAAUGCAGAGACCCACAGUAAUCUAUUCCACAUUGCUCUUAAGUUCUUUUCCUUUUUGAGUAGAUUAGGUUUUUAAAUAGUAUUCGAGAGAGUCAUUUGGGACAGAUAAGACUCAAAGUACAAAACAUAUAAUAUACUAAAACUCUUACAUCAAUUUAUAAUUUCUAUCUAUCUAUUCAUCUAUCUAUAUACAUCUACAUCUACCUACUUCUCUUUGUAGCUCUGGUUGUCCAAGAACUCAUUCUAUAUAUCUUUGUAGUCCAGGUUAGCCUCAAACUCAGAAAUCCAUCUGCACUAAUUCCCAGUACUGGGACUAAAGGUAUGUACCCCCCAAUGCCAGGCUAUUUCCUAGUUUGAAAACACUGCAUACAAUCCAGUGCCUACUUGAGGAAUGUGAAUUAUUAUCACAUAAAUUAUUAUUUACUUUUUCAUCAAUUUGAUCUGGCAGACACAACUUACAGGAGAAAGGGUUUCUUUUGGCUCUCAAUUGAGAGGAUCCUAUCAAGAGACAGGAGAGCAUGGGGGAAUGAUUCUGCCAAUGGGUGGCACAAUUUAAUCUCACUUUGUGGGAUUCAGUAGAGAGCUCAGGCUAGAAUUAGAUGUGAAUAUACCUUCAAGUCUCAACUCCUAGUGGCACACUUAUGCUACCUGGACCACAGUCCUAAAGGUUCCACCACCCCUCAAAGCAUUACCAUGAAAUGGAAAUAAAUGUCCCUACACAUGAGUCACAAGAGCUAAAUAAUGUUUGGAUGGUGGGUAGUACCUGGGAGCAAUGUAAGGGGAUGCUAGAUCAGUGAGGAAGGAGUGGAUGGAUUGGUGGGUGGAAGAGCACCCUCUUGGAGGCAAAGGGGAGGGGGAGGGGAUGGAGGGAGGGAAGACUGGGGAAAAGGACAACAUUUGAAAUGUAAAUAAAUAAAAUAACCAAUUUUAAAAAAAGAAGAAAACAGCUAAAUAAUGCUAAGGGCAUUCUUGACCUAUGUCGAGUAUAUCACUUACAUUUUACAGGAGACUUCCAUUAUAGUACCCAAAUGGGCCCACAUAAAUAAAUAGCAAGGAAGGAAUAUCUACAGAAAUCAGAGGAAGUUUUGUAUCUCAACCAAAGAGAGUUUUAACUCUAGUUGGCAAAUAUCAAAGUGCUUAGAGGUCUUCUUGAGUAAUAUAAGGGAUUAAUUUCUAUGAAAACAUAAAUUUUGCGAUGAGUUGGAUGUAUUUAAAACCAAGGAACAUUCUAACAGCAGGAAAAACAAGAGGAUUCUUACAGUUAAUACAUGACCCCUCAUAAGAUUAUAUCCUGGAAAACUGUGAGCUAAAAGGGGAUAUGCAGACAAGAAUGUAAAGAUAUGAAGAGAACUAGUUUCAGCAAGUGAAAGGAUACAAACUCUGAAGUUCCAUUCUUUUUAUUUUUACAUGUAAUAGCAUGUAAUAGCAGAGAAAAAUAAUCAGAGCAUGAAAAUGAGAAAAAAAAGAAUAAUGAGAGAAAUGAUAAUUCAUUCAGUAGCAUUUUGAGUUUGAGGUAAUAUUAGCAGACAAGAAGAAGCAAAAAAAAAA